GUGGCCGGGUGUUGUAGUUUGCUGAUUAAAUAUCACGUGGUACAUUGGUAAUGCCCAGUGGAGCGUUUGAACCCUGGAUGUGUGAAGAAUCCUGUUGGAGCCUUUGUGCUUGGGCUGUGUACCAUAACUUCCUCCAGUGGAACAAUACGGGAUAGGAAGACAGGAAGAGGCUCUUCUCACACUUAGCCAUUUAUUAACUUUGUGCGGUUCUCGCUUAAGUGGAGAAUCCGUCCGUCCAAUAGAGAAGAAAGAGCCCAAUUCACCAUCGUUUUUUUUUAUUCACAUUUUUCAUCUCUUCUCUAAAUCGCAUUCUCAUUGGAGGGUCGCCUUUUUAUUCGUCCGUUUUUUGGGGGGUCGUUGGGGACAUUUCUCCAGCACGUUAUUGGUGUGGGACAAUGGGCAGGACACACCCUAAUUCAGGAAUUUCUCUCUGUUUUUUCUUCUUUCUACUUCCUCUCUAUGCCCGUGGAUAUGGUGGUCCCAUAAGAGGAACCAGGUUAAGACAUUGCUCCAGAUUCUAGCACUUCCUGGGACAGACGUCAACGUGAAAGGCUUGGGAGGUGAAGAUCAAAUCAUGUGUCCUCCGAAACAUGACCCACCAAACUGCGCUUCUUAACACUCGCCCGCUUAACCCGGAAGCCAGCCGCACCAAUAUGUCGGAGGAAACACCAUUCGCCUGAUGACCGCGGGUCAGCCUGCAGGCCCCCGGCCCGCCACAAGGAGUCGCUAAACCACGAUGAGCCAAGACAAGCCCUCCCGGCCAAACCCUCCCCUAACCUACGAGACUCCCAAUCACGGCCGGUUGUGAUACAGCCCGGGACCAAACCAGGGUCUGUAGUGAUGCCUCUAGCACUGAGAUGCAGUGACCGCUGCGUCAGUCGGGAGCCCCAUAAUGCAGUUUUAAAAGAAUGAUAAUUUGUUCUUUGUGUGUGUGUGUGUGUGUGUGUGUGUGUGUGUGUGUGUGUGUGUGUGUGUGUGUGUGUGUGUGUGUGUCUGUGUGUGUGUGUGUGUGUGCAUGUGUGCCUGCAUGUGUAUUUCUACGUGUGUGUUACUCCUCAGACCAUGCAGGCUGGACGCCCCUGCAGAGGCGUGUAACCAUGGCACCAGUGCAUGUGUGGAGGCCCUGCUGUGCCACCGGCCCGUCCCUCACCUGAACGGCCAGGUGGGCGGAGUCAGUCUGCUACACAAUGCUCUGUGGACACACAGACAUCGACAAGAUGCUCCAGCAUGCAGGAUCUGCUGCAGCAGAAAGACGGUCAUGGAUGGACUGCACUGGAGCUGGUUUCAAAUGCCAUGCUGAGGGAGGAGCUUUGACGCAGCGCCCUGACUGGAGAAGUGGCCCUGGAGGCAUUGAGGUCAGGGACCUGUCCUUCCUGGAGGCCUGCUCCUGCCUGCUGACCCAUGUGCUCUUCAACCCCCCUACCUCCCCCUCUUCCUCUUGAACGUGCCCUGGGAUGAAUCCCGGCCCACAUGUAUAUAACUGAUUGUGUCAUUCAUAGUCUGUUUCAGGGGCCAUUUUUUUUUCGAUUAUAUUUUUAUUAACAUUUAUCAUGUGACAUCCCACUGCUAAUCUUCUUACUCUUUUUAGGAAUUGUUUACAUUUGUUCAUGUUAUUUUGUGUUAUGUCAGCAGUGAUUUUAUAGAUUAUGUAAAAAUAAAUUUGUAUUGGGAACUGGUGCAAUAUGUAAUGUUAAGAUAAUUAAGAUAAUUAGGUACUAUUACAAAUGUAUGUGUGAAUUGUACAUUUUUUGCAUAUCCCACUCCCCUGCAUAUCCCACUCUCCAUAUCCCACUCCUCAGCCGUGGAUAAUGAAAUUCACAGCUGCUGCACAACUUCCUCACCUGAAUGUAACCAAGGGCUAUGUAGAUAGGUAGGUUUAACCAAUUACAGCAGCCUUUUUUAAACUAUGGGUUGGAAAACCAAAGUGGAUCAUACUGUAGGUAUGUAAAAAGUGGCACAUUUGUUUCUGUCCGGGGUGGGGUGGCGAGCGGCGGGUAAUUGUGCUCAGGGGUUUUCCUCAUUCAGGCCGAGAUUCAAUCAAUGGUGUGUUAUAGAGCAUCGCUCUAAACAACUGCUGACAAUGCACAUUUAAAUGUGCCUUGGAUUGAAUCACAGCCCCAAUGGGCAAGUUCAGUUUGCAUUCCCCGGUGCCCUGGGUAGUUCGUGAUUUCACUUUAGGACCAAUGGAAUGGUCUAAAAUAAGCAACUUGAGGGGAAUAAGUAGACCUGUUAUAAAAAAUGUAAAUAAUAAUACAUAAAUCCUGUCUCUGUAAAUGGCCGUUUCCUCUCUCGCGUGAUCAUACCAGAGAUUAUGGAGGAACUGUGAGUUCAACGCGUGAAGCAUGCUCACGUGAGAGGGGGAAUGCCAACUUACACAGACCGGAACCUUUUCAUUUUUUUCAAUGAAAAACUGCCUUUAUGAGACGACAUCAUUAUACAGCAUCUUUGUAUGGGCAAUGCAAAACUAAUCUUGUUCUAAAGGAAGCUCCGUUUCAAGUGCUGAACUACUGUGAUUGGUUCAAUUAAAGCUUGGUGGGCAGAGCUUGGAGUGAAAAGUCAGUGGGUGGAGUGAGGUGAGAGUCAAAUAAAAAAAGGUCUUAAGUUGGAGGUGCAUAGAGGGCAUUACACGCUGGCCACAACCUGCAAGGUUGCCAGUUUGAAUCCUGUUUGCGACUUUUGUUUUCCAACCAUACCCAACAUUCUUAGCUAACGACAUGUUUCUAAUCUAACUUUUGACGUUUCUAACUUCCUGACUGAACAGAAUGAAAUAUGUGAAAAAAAUGAUCUGGUGCUCUCCCCCUGCUGACUCAUUGGACUAAGCACUAGGAUGGGGACCAGAAGGUACUAUGUUCAAAUCUUGCCGAUUCCCGUUCUGUAAUAAGGUCUAUUUACGUUACCUUUCCGUAGCAAGGAAUGCUCACCCUCAAAACCCAAACCAUCCUUCAACUCUUGUUCGUGACAAUGGAAGAUAUUCGCUAACAUCCAUGACUGGGGUUUCUAUGCAAUGGGUGAAUCUCAAUUGUAUUUCCCUGAUUUCUUACGGUCUCCCGCCCUGCCUCCUCCUCAAGACACACUGGAGGAGAAGAUCCAAGGGAGGAACCUCAUUCUGCUCCAAUGUGCUUUCAAAAAAAGAUGAAACGAAGAAUCAAGAAAAUACAACUGAGAUUCACUCAAUGUAUUCACUAUAACCCUUUUCCAGAACAGUGUUCUUCGAGUUAGGCUGGGAUUCAAUCCAACUGCUGGUUGUCCUCUGGAAAAUCUGGGGAACCAGGCCUGGUAUUCAUUGCUGACUUUGAAAAGGCCU
Long non-coding RNA from Salmo salar (Atlantic salmon), 3304 nucleotides. RefSeq lists it as uncharacterized. The record is from RefSeq and is a predicted model, not a curated record. Lineage: Eukaryota; Metazoa; Chordata; Actinopteri; Salmoniformes; Salmonidae.